AUGACUUUCUCCAUGAAAGUCGGCACAUCCUUCAGUACUCCUUCUUGCCAAAGUUCUUGCACCAAAGCUGGGAUGGGAUUGGCCGGACUGGGUGAUGCGGGCGUUGCUGCACAAGAGUAUAUCACAUUCGUCAGCGCUAACACAAAAAACAGAAAACUAAAUUGGGUCAGUAUAUACCAUAACCUAGUCCUAUGGAAAUUGUCAUGGAGACAUGUCUUCCAAAUGAAGAUUGAGAUAGGGGAAAACCAAUCAGAAGAAAAAACAGAAGGAGAAAAGGUACUAACUACAGUACUUCCUCUGAUCCAAAUUAAUCGAGGCAGCCUCUAUACAAAAUGGUACUAA
Molecule: ribosomal RNA, 342 nt
Filed under: Triticum aestivum (bread wheat)
Lineage: Eukaryota; Viridiplantae; Streptophyta; Magnoliopsida; Poales; Poaceae
Description: partial small subunit ribosomal RNA
Source: RNAcentral